Molecule: long non-coding RNA, 593 nt
Organism: Hibiscus syriacus
Lineage: Eukaryota; Viridiplantae; Streptophyta; Magnoliopsida; Malvales; Malvaceae
Exons: 5
Source: RefSeq, a predicted model, not a curated record
UCCACAGAAGAGCGAGACGAAUUGAAUCAAUGGAGUCGAGUAUUUCAGCAGAACGAGUUGGAUCAGAGAGCCCUAAGGCCAAAGAAGAAUUCAAGAACGAGCAUACCAUAAUCUCCGGCGACGAAGGCAACUUCGAGAACAGCAAGAACCCGGUUAUUGUCGCCGUAGUUACCGCUGCCGAUCACCGUGUCGAGGUUGCUCCCGUCAUUUUCCUGCUAAAACUGUCGAGCCACCCCAAGAGACAAGAGACCAAGAAUGCGAGGAAUGAUAAGAAGAAGAAACAGAAGAAGGAGGUGCAAAUAUCCAACACCUAGAAACCCUUCAUCUUCUAUCUCAAUCGUGCCAAGAGGUACAUAAAAACUAGUUCAAUGAGGUUGAACUUUGCGGCUUAGGAAUGGCUAUUCCUACUGUUGUCACUAUAGCUGAGAUUCUGAAACGAAAUGGAUUUGCAACCCAGAAAGGAAUACCGACAUCGACUGUGCUCGGCACCCAGGAGGAUCGAAAGGGUAGUCGGAUCGAGAAAGCUAAGAUUUAGUGAUGGGGAAAGCUGAUAAUUUAUGAAAGCUGCUGAUCAGAAGGCAUAGAGAUUGAAG